RNAcentral lists this ribosomal RNA (524 nucleotides) under uncultured bacterium. RNAcentral describes it as "partial 16S ribosomal RNA". It matches the Rfam family "Bacterial small subunit ribosomal RNA", at positions 28 to 523 of the family's 1533-position model. The record is from RNAcentral.
GACGAACGCUGGCGGCGUGCCUAAUACAUGCAAGUCGAGCGCAGGAAGCCGUCUGAACCCUUCGGGGGGACGACGGUGGAAUGAGCGGCGGACGGGUGAGUAACACGUAAAGAACCUGCCCAUAGGUCUGGGAUAACCACGAGAAAUCGGGGCUAAUACCGGAUGUGUCAUCGGACCGCAUGGUCCGCUGAUGAAAGGCGCUCCGGCGUCGCCCAUAGAUGGCUUUGCGGUGCAUUAGCUAGUUGGAGGGGUAACGGCCCACCAAGGCGACGAUGCAUAGCCGACCGGAGAGGGUGAUCGGCCACACUGGGACUGAGACACGGCCCAGACUCCUACGGGAGGCAGCAGUAGGGAAUCUUCCACAAUGGACGAAAGUCUGAUGGAGCAACGCCGCGUGAACGAUGAAGGCUUUCGGGUCGUAAAGUUCUGUUGUAAGGGAAGAACAAGUGCCGCAGGAAAUGGCGGCACCUUGACGGUACCUUGCGAGAAAGCCACGGCUAACUACGUGCCAGCCGCCGCAGUAA